GACGAACGCUGGCGGCGUGCCUAAUACAUGCAAGUAGAACGCUGAAGAGAGGAGCUUGCUCUUCUUGGAUGAGUUGCGAACGGGUGAGUAACGCGUAGGUAACCUGCCUGGUAGCGGGGGAUAACUAUUGGAAACGAUAGCUAAUACCGCAUGAUAUUAAUUGUUGCAUGAUAAUUAAUUGAAAGAUGCAAUUGCAUCACUACCAGAUGGACCUGCGUUGUAUUAGCUAGUUGGUGAGGUAACGGCUCACCAAGGCGACGAUACAUAGCCGACCUGAGAGGGUGAUCGGACACACUGGGACUGAGACACGGCCCAGACUCCUACGGGAGGCAGCAGUAGGGAAUCUUCGGCAAUGGGGGGAACCCUGACCGAGCAACGCCGCGUGAGUGAAGAAGGUUUUCGGAUCGUAAAGCUCUGUUGUAAGAGAAAGAACGGGUGUGAGAAGU
RNAcentral lists this ribosomal RNA (446 nucleotides) under Streptococcus sanguinis. Its description in RNAcentral is "bacterial SSU rRNA". It matches the Rfam family "Bacterial small subunit ribosomal RNA", at positions 28 to 464 of the family's 1533-position model. Lineage: Bacteria; Bacillati; Bacillota; Bacilli; Lactobacillales; Streptococcaceae. The record is from RNAcentral.